RNAcentral lists this ribosomal RNA (628 nucleotides) under uncultured Pleosporales. RNAcentral describes it as "eukaryotic LSU rRNA". The stretch from base 248 to 401 matches the Rfam family "5.8S ribosomal RNA". Lineage: Eukaryota; Fungi; Ascomycota; Dothideomycetes; Pleosporales. The record is from RNAcentral.
UCUUGGUCAUUUAGAGGAAGUAAAAGUCGUAACAAGGUCUCCGUAGGUGAACCUGCGGAGGGAUCAUUUACACAAAAAAUAUGAAGGCUGCACGGCCAGUUUUGGCGGGGAAGCUGAAUUAUUUUUCACCCAUGUCUUUUGCGCACUUGUUGUUUCCUGGGCGGGUUCGCCCGCCACCAGGACCACACCAUAAACCUUUUUUAUGCAGUUGCAAUCAGCGUCAGUAUAACAAAUGUAAAUCAUUUACAACUUUCAACAACGGAUCUCUUGGUUCUGGCAUCGAUGAAGAACGCAGCGAAAUGCGAUACGUAGUGUGAAUUGCAGAAUUCAGUGAAUCAUCGAAUCUUUGAACGCACAUUGCGCCCUUUGGUAUUCCAAAGGGCAUGCCUGUUCGAGCGUCAUUUGUACCCUCAAGCUUUGCUUGGUGUUGGGCGUUUGUCUUUGGCUUUUGCCCAAAGACUCGCCUUAAAACGAUUGGCAGCCGGCCUACUGGUUUCGGAGCGCAGCACAUUUUUGCGCUUGCAACUAGCUAAAGAGGCCAGCAAUCCAUCAAGACCUUCUUCUCACUUUUGACCUCGGAUCAGGUAGGGAUACCCGCUGAACUUAAGCAUAUCAAUAAGCGGAGGAA